GAUGAACGCUAGCGGCAGGCUUAAUACAUGCAAGUCGUGGGGCAGCAUGAGUAGCAAUACUUGAUGGCGACCGGCAAACGGGUGAGGAACACGUACACAACCUUCCUUCAAGCGGGGAAUAGCCCAGAGAAAUUUGGAUUAAUACCCCAUAAUAUAUUUGAUAAGGCAUCUUAUUAAUAUUAAAGCUUCGGCACUUGAUGAUGGGUGUGCGGCUGAUUAGAUAGUUGGCGGGUAACGGCCCACCAAGUCUACGAUCAGUAGCUGAUGUGAGAGCAUGAUCAGCCACACGGGCACUGAGACACGGGCCCGAUCCUACGGGAGGCAGCAGUAAGGAAUAUUGGACAAUGGACGAAAGUCUGAUCCAGCCAUGCCGCGUGAAGGACUAAGGUCCCCUGGAUUGUAAACUUCUUUAUAUGGACGAAAAAGGC
This 428-nucleotide ribosomal RNA is filed under the name uncultured bacterium. RNAcentral describes it as "bacterial SSU rRNA". It matches the Rfam family "Bacterial small subunit ribosomal RNA", at positions 28 to 455 of the family's 1533-position model. The record is from RNAcentral.